Molecule: ribosomal RNA, 481 nt
Filed under: uncultured bacterium
Lineage: Bacteria
Description: partial 16S ribosomal RNA
Rfam family: Bacterial small subunit ribosomal RNA
Source: RNAcentral
GAUGAACGCUGGCGGCGUGCCUAACACAUGCAAGUCGAGCGAAGCGCUUAAAUUAGAUUUCUUCGGAAUGACGAUUUUUGUGACUGAGCGGCGGACGGGUGAGUAACGCGUGGGUAACCUGCCUCAUACAGGGGGAUAACAGUUAGAAAUGACUGCUAAUACCGCAUAAGACCCCAGCUUCGCAUGAAGCGGUGGUAAAAACUCCGGUGGUAUGAGAUGGACCCGCGUCUGAUUAGCUAGUUGGUAAGGUAACGGCUUACCAAGGCGACGAUCAGUAGCCGACCUGAGAGGGUGACCGGCAACAUUGGGACUGAGACACGGCCCAGACUCCUACGGGAGGCAGCAGUGGGGAAUAUUGCACAAUGGGGGAAACCCUGAUGCAGCGACGCCGCGUGAAGGAUGAAGUAUUUCGGUAUGUAAACUUCUAUCAGCAGGGAAGAAAGUGACGGUACCUGACUAAGAAGCCCCGGCUAACUACGUG